CAUGGCUCAGGAUGAACGCUAGCUACAGGCUUAACACAUGCAAGUCGAGGGGCAGCAUGGUCUUAGCUUGCUAAGGCCGAUGGCGACCGGCGCACGGGUGAGUAACACGUAUCCAACCUGCCGUCUACUCUUGGACAGCCUUCUGAAAGGAAGAUUAAUACAAGAUGGCAUCAUGAGUCCACAUGUUCACAUGAUUAAAGGUAUUCCGGUAGACGAUGGGGAUGCGUUCCAUUAGAUAGUAGGCGGGGUAACGGCCCACCUAGUCUUCGAUGGAUAGGGGUUCUGAGAGGAAGGUCCCCCACAUUGGAACUGAGACACGGUUCAAACUCCUACGGGAGGCAGCAGUGAGGAAUAUUGGUCAAUGGGCGAGAGCCUGAACCAGCCAAGUAGCGUGAAGGAUGACUGCCCUAUGGGUUGUAAACUUCUUUUAUAAAGGAAUAAAGUCGGGUAUGCAUACCCGUUUGCAUGUACUUUAUGAAUAAGGAUCGGCUAACUCCGUGCCAGCAGCCGCGGUAAUACGGAGGAUCCGAGCGUUAUCCGGAUUUAUUGGGUUUAAAGGGAGCGUAGAUGGAUGUUUAAGUCAGUUGUGAAAGUUUGCGGCUCAACCGUAAAAUUGCAGUUGAUACUGGAUAUCUUGAGUGCAGUUGAGGCAGGCGGAAUUCGUGGUGUAGCGGUGAAAUGCUUAGAUAUCACGAAGAACUCCGAUUGCGAAGGCAGCCUGCUAAGCUGCAACUGACAUUGAGGCUCGAAAGUGUGGGUAUCAAACAGGAUUAGAUACCCUGGUAGUCCACACGGUAAACGAUGAAUACUCGCUGUUUGCGAUAUACUGCAAGCGGCCAAGCGAAAGCGUUAAGUAUCCCACCUGGGGAGUACGCCGGCAACGGUGAAACUCAAAGGAAUUGACGGGGGCCCGCACAAGCGGAGGAACAUGUGGUUUAAUUCGAUGAUACGCGAGGAACCUUACCCGGGCUUAAAUUGCAGAUGAAUUACGGUGAAAGCCGUAAGCCGCAAGGCAUCUGUGAAGGUGCUGCAUGGUUGUCGUCAGCUCGUGCCGUGAGGUGUCGGCUUAAGUGCCAUAACGAGCGCAACCCUUGUUGUCAGUUACUAACAGGUUCUGCUGAGGACUCUGACAAGACUGCCAUCGUAAGAUGUGAGGAAGGUGGGGAUGACGUCAAAUCAGCACGGCCCUUACGUCCGGGGCUACACACGUGUUACAAUGGGGGGUACAGAGGGCCGCUACCACGCGAGUGGAUGCCAAUCCCAAAAACCUCUCUCAGUUCGGACUGGAGUCUGCAACCCGACUCCACGAAGCUGGAUUCGCUAGUAAUCGCGCAUCAGCCACGGCGCGGUGAAUACGUUCCCGGGCCUUGUACACACCGCCCGUCAAGCCAUGGGAGCCGGGGGUACCUGAAGUGCGUAACCGCGAGGAGCGCCCUAGGGUAAAACUGGUGA
Molecule: ribosomal RNA, 1452 nt
Filed under: uncultured organism
Description: SSU rRNA
Rfam family: Bacterial small subunit ribosomal RNA
Source: RNAcentral